ACGAACGCUGGCGGCGUGCCUAACACAUGCAAGUCGAACGGAAUGAGGGGGCUUGCUCCUUCAUUUAGUGGCGCACGGGUGAGUAACGCGUAGAUAAUCUGCCUGAUGAUCCGGGAUAACACUUCGAAAGGGGUGCUAAUACCGGAUAAGCCCACGACGGCCUUGGCCGACGCGGGAAAAGGGGGGGACCUUCGGGCCUUCUGUCAUCAGAUGAACCUGCGUUAGAUUAGCUAGUUGGUAGGGUAAAGGCCUACCAAGGCGACGAUCUAUAGCUGGUCUGAGAGGAUGACCAGCCACACUGGAACUGAGAUACGGACCAGACUCCUACGGGAGGCAGCAGUGGGGAAUAUUGGACAAUGGGGGCAACCCUGAUCCAGCGAUGCCGCGUGUGUGAAGAAGGCCUGAGGGUUGUAAAGCACUUUAGUUGGGGAGGAAAGGCUCUCUUCUAAUAGAAGAGAGAAAAGACGUUACCCAAAGAAUAAGCACCGGCUAACUCUGUGCCAGCAGCCGCGGUAAUACAGAGGGUGCAAGCGUUAAUCGGAAUGACUGGGCGUAAAGGGCACGUAGGCGGAUAGAUGUGUCAUAGGUGAAAUCCCCGGGCUCAACCUGGGAACUGCCUGUGAAACUGUGUAUCUAGAAUAUAGGAGAGGGAAGUGGAAUUUCCGGUGUAGCGGUGAAAUGCGUAGAUAUCGGAAAGAACACCAGUGGCGAAGGCGACUUCCUGGUCUAAUAUUGACGCUGAGGUGCGAAAGCGUGGGGAGCAAACGGGAUUAGAUACCCCGGUAGUCCACGCUGUAAACGAUGAGAACUAGAUGCUUGUUGACUAAGGUUAAUGAGUAUGAAGCAAACGCGUAAGUCUCCCGC
Molecule: ribosomal RNA, 864 nt
Filed under: uncultured bacterium
Lineage: Bacteria
Description: bacterial SSU rRNA
Rfam family: Bacterial small subunit ribosomal RNA
Source: RNAcentral